GAAUGGUAGAACUAAGAAGAAAGGUACUGAUAUCAAGAAAACAUGAGUGAUAUAUCGAUCAAAUAUCGGCCAAACGUUGGUCAAAUAUCGGUCAAUAUCGCCAAUAAUAUCGGUACCGAUAUUUGACACCGAUAUAUUACAUGUGACCGAUAACCGAUAUAUAGGGGUGUAAACAAGCCCAGAGGCUCGAGAGCUACUCGUGAUCG
This 206-nucleotide long non-coding RNA is filed under the name Helianthus annuus (common sunflower). RNAcentral describes it as "hypothetical non coding rna". The record is from RNAcentral. Lineage: Eukaryota; Viridiplantae; Streptophyta; Magnoliopsida; Asterales; Asteraceae.